Molecule: ribosomal RNA, 439 nt
Filed under: uncultured bacterium
Lineage: Bacteria
Description: partial 16S ribosomal RNA
Rfam family: Bacterial small subunit ribosomal RNA
Source: RNAcentral
CUACGGGGGGCUCCAGUGAGGAAUAUUGCACAAUGGGGGGAACCCUGAUGCAGCAACGCCGCGUGGAGGAUGACGCAUUUCGGUGUGUAAACUCCUUUUAUAUGUCAAGAAAAUGGCGGUAGCAUAUGAAUAAGCACCGGCUAACUCCGUGCCAGCAGCCGCGGUAAUACGGAGGGUGCAAGCGUUACUCGGAAUCACUGGGCGUAAAGGACGCGUAGGCGGGUUGGAAAGUCAGGUGUGAAAUCCUACAGCUUAACUGUAGAACUGCACUUGAAACUUCUAAUCUAGAGUAUGGGAGGGGGAGAUGGAAUUGGUGGUGUAGGGGUAAAAUCCGUAGAUAUCACUAGGAAUACCUAAAGCGAAGGCGAUCUCCUGGAACAUUACUGACGCUAAGGCGUGAAAGCGUGGGGAGCAAACAGGAUUAGAUACCCCAGUAGUC